GAUUCAUCAGCCGCCUUAGUUUUCACUUGAGCGGAAAAUAACGGCCGCUACGCGCGGUUCCUGCCUGCGGGGCUCGAGCGCGCGUUCCCGAAGGCCACGGCUUUAAGAGCAUCCUACACACCAAGACGAAACUCCGUGGCUUUAAGACUUGCCUGGUAAGGACCACCAUUACUUUGUUGCUUUUGUUGAAAGGUAGUGGGGGCGGGGAGGGGUGUCUUUCUAUGAGUCUGGGAAAAUACAGGCUGCCUUUUCUCAGGGAGGGGAUUGUCACAGGUUUCUGUGCAAAGACAGAAUCCUUACGUGAACUCCCCUAUAUUCGGAUGGUUGCGAUGGACUUUGGAAGGUGACCUGGGAUUCAGGUCUUCUGGGUGGGAUGAACUUGUAUUCAGCGGUUAUGGCCCCUGAUGCCCGAGUGGAGCCACCAGUCGAACUGACCCUAUGAGGCAUCUGAACUGUGGUGAUUUGGGACUAACGAGCUGGGGUCGCUGGAAGCCAAGUGACCCUUUGUGCGUACCACCUGUAGUCACUUUCCCUGACACUCCUAUGCGAUUCCGUGGGCUGGCCUAAAGUUGGGGGACAUCUGUCCCAGAGAAAUGUCACCCCUGUCAUCCCUGCCCCAAGAUGUCAAGCUCAGGACAGGAGUGGUUUUCCCUACACAGAAACUCCUAGAAACUUGUUUAGUACAGAAGAAUGUUGCAGGCCCAUGAUUCUUGU
This 714-nucleotide long non-coding RNA is filed under the name Rattus norvegicus (Norway rat). RNAcentral's name for it is "long non-coding RNA NONRATT031520". Lineage: Eukaryota; Metazoa; Chordata; Mammalia; Rodentia; Muridae. The record is from RNAcentral.